This 479-nucleotide long non-coding RNA is filed under the name Anser cygnoides (Swan goose). RNAcentral describes it as "lncRNA (ENSACDG00005014200.1)". Lineage: Eukaryota; Metazoa; Chordata; Aves; Anseriformes; Anatidae. The record is from RNAcentral.
CCCCGCGGCGCCCAGCGCCACCAGCGCCGCCGCGCAGGCGCCACCGCCCGCGGCACGCCGGGUCCUAGCGCCGCCCGCCGGGGAAGGCCCGGUGGGCCGAGGCGUGGGGGGCUCCGCCGGGUGUUUGGGGGCUCCCCCGGGUGGUGGGGGGCUCCGAGGGCCUGGGGGCCGUGUGUGGGCGCACUGAAGAGUGGGAGAGGCUCCGCUGCGCGCUGUGUGUUGUCCCCGAGGGGCAAUAUGGAAGUGGCGGCUUGGGGGGGGUGCCGAGGGGUGGUGAGAGUUUGGGCUUCGUUCGGCAGGACCCGAAAGCACUGUUGCAUCGGAAACAAAACGUCGCUGAAAUCGAACCCGAAUCUGGGCAUCCGCAGCCUGGUGCCGCUUCCACAUCUCCAGGCAGCAGAAAGCUCUCCUGGACUGGGAAAGUAAAAGAGUAAAGCAGCAAAUCUAGAAAUGCAGCCAUGUUGAAGAUAAUCAUUCAG